RNAcentral lists this unclassified non-coding RNA (216 nucleotides) under Hevea brasiliensis (rubber tree). The record is from RNAcentral. Lineage: Eukaryota; Viridiplantae; Streptophyta; Magnoliopsida; Malpighiales; Euphorbiaceae.
AGCCUGGCGUUCCACUGUUAGUGGUGUAUAUCCCGUCAUAAGAAAAUGGCAUCUUGGUGUUGGAAUUAAAGAGGCAAGAAGACCAACCAAGUCAUUGUUCAUAUAACCAGGAUAUCGUAACGUGGUUGUGCUUGCAGACAUUACAGUAGAUACCAAAGAGUUAGUUUGAGCAAAAGUAGGAUUUGACAAAUGUAGGCGUUCCACAGCAAUUCUAUU